This 120-nucleotide ribosomal RNA is filed under the name Pteropus alecto (black flying fox). The record is from RNAcentral. Lineage: Eukaryota; Metazoa; Chordata; Mammalia; Chiroptera; Pteropodidae.
GUCUACGGCCAUGCCACCCUGAACGUGCCCGAUCUCGUCUGAUCUUGGAAACUAAGCAGGGUUGGGCCUGGUUAGUAAAUUGGAUGGGAGACCACCUAGAAAUACCAGGUGCUGUAGGUC